CGCCUGGUUGAUUAAAAACAUUGCUGCAUGGAGGAAUGUGCGGUAAGUACUGCCCGGUGCUUAGGUAAACGGCGGCGUAAGGUUUUAAAGUAGCGAAAUACCUAGCCCUUUAAUUGGGGGCGUGCAUGAAGUAUCAACGAGGGAGAAACUGUCUCUUCUGUAGUUUAGCUUAAAUUGAAUUCUAAGUGAAGUUGCUUAGAUGUAGUCAAAAGACGAUAAGACCCCGUGCAACUUAAUUUAACUGGAAAGAGAUUUUCGGGAUGAUUUAGCUGGGGAAGCUGAGAAAGAGGAGCUUUUUUCAAAUCUUUUAAAAGGGACACCUUGAGAGCUGGUUUUUGACCAAGUGUGGGGAAAGUUACGCCGGGGGUAACAGGACGGUUUUAAAAUUGAGUUGGUAUCGGUUUUAAAGUUCGUUACAUCGAUGUUGAAUCAAGGCGCGCCUGGGUGGAGAGGCUCAGGUUUGGGGGUCUGUUCGACCUUUAAAGUCUUACGUGAUCUGAGUUCAAACCGG
RNAcentral lists this ribosomal RNA (511 nucleotides) under Pinctada margaritifera. RNAcentral's name for it is "partial 16S ribosomal RNA". It matches the Rfam family "Bacterial large subunit ribosomal RNA", at positions 1797 to 2619 of the family's 2925-position model. Lineage: Eukaryota; Metazoa; Mollusca; Bivalvia; Pterioida; Pteriidae. The record is from RNAcentral.